Molecule: microRNA precursor, 103 nt
Filed under: Marmota monax (woodchuck)
Lineage: Eukaryota; Metazoa; Chordata; Mammalia; Rodentia; Sciuridae
Source: RNAcentral
AGUGGGGUUGCUGGAUCAUUUGGUAGUUCUAAUUUUAAUCUUUUGAGGAAUUUCUUGACUAUUUUCCAAAAUGAGUAUACUAGUUUACAUUCCCACCAAUAGU